GACGAACGCUGGCGGCGUGCCUAAUACAUGCAAGUCGAGCGAGUCUGCCUUGAAGAUCGGAGUGCUUGCACUCUGUGAAACAAGAUACAGGCUAGCGGCGGACGGGUGAGUAACACGUGGGUAACCUGCCCAAGAGAUCGGGAUAACACCUGGAAACAGAUGCUAAUACCGGAUAACAACAGAUGAUGCCUAUCAACUGUUUAAAAGAUGGUUCUGCUAUCACUCUUGGAUGGACCUGCGGUGCAUUAGCUAGUUGGUAGGGUAACGGCCUACCAAGGCGAUGAUGCGUAGCCGGGUUGAGAGAAUGAUCAGCCACAUUGGAACUGAGACACGGCCCAGACUCCUACGGGAGGCAGCAGUAGGGAAUCUUCGACAAUGGACGCAAGUCUGAUGGAGCAACGCCGCGUGAGUGAAGAAGGGUUUCGGCUCGUAAAGCUCUGUUGUUGGUGAAGAAGGACAGGGGUAGUAACUGACCUUUGUUUGACGGUAAUCAAUGAGAAAGUCACGGCUAACUACGUG
Molecule: ribosomal RNA, 519 nt
Filed under: uncultured bacterium
Lineage: Bacteria
Description: partial 16S ribosomal RNA
Rfam family: Bacterial small subunit ribosomal RNA
Source: RNAcentral